GUGCAUGUUACGAACUCAUUACUGUCGUACGUUAUGUUGUAUAUUGAUAAGGGGUGGACACUGCAAAAACUACUAUUAUGCUGUUGAUUAGCAAUUAUUACUCAGGGUGCUAUAAUUCUCGUACUUACAUCUGUUUUCAGUCACGUACAACGUUGGUCCACGUAGGUACACGGAACUCUUACUAUCUGCGUAUUUAUUUUCGUUGUACCAUACGAGCUUUCCAAGACCAGGUUUUUCAAAAUAGUAAUUUGGUCGGUAAAUUACUUUAUAAAGUCCGACAUGACUAGAAUGAAAAAUUAUUAGACUGAUGCAACUAAGGAAUGUUGGGGUGGAUUCUAGUGAUUGUAUAGACAAUUAUACUUUCACGUUACUGAAUUAAUAUCUUUCAGAAAGUUGUACUUUAUGUACUUCAUUUUAAAGACUAAGUACGCCUUGAGUCUUAAGUUUGCUAGUUUGUACCAGCUCAAGUACGUGGCAAUAAUCAUUGGAGUACCAGUCAGGUACGACUAAAAAUCUUCAAUUAUCGCACCCUGUAAUUACUUGUAAUACAGUUGGUUUUAACUUAAAAAUAUUACAUUAGUAUAUCAUUAAUAUAUAUACAAAUAACUCGUUUUCAUCCAAGGUAUGUUCAGAUGAAAAUUUAACAAUUAUUCGCCGAAGGCGAUGUGAUUAUCGUGGAAUAUUCACCGAGACGAAUUUGAGGCGAGUAUGUGCCGAUAUUUACCCACAGGCGGCCCAAUCUCAGAAUGAAUGAUCAGGUGUUGCGGGUUUUUAACGGUUUUUAUAAACAAAUUUAUAGUCAACCAAAACUAUUUAAAAAACAUUC
Molecule: non-coding RNA, 826 nt
Organism: Paramuricea clavata
Lineage: Eukaryota; Metazoa; Cnidaria; Anthozoa; Malacalcyonacea; Plexauridae
Source: the annotation of a GenBank genome assembly